GGAAUCUUGCGCAAUGGGGGAAACCCUGACGCAGCAACGCCGCGUGAGUGAGGAAGGUCUUCGGGUCGUAAAGCUCUGUCAGGCGGGAAGAAAUGGAUGGAGGUGAACAGCCGCCAUGCUUGACGGUACCGCCAGAGGAAGCACCGGCUAACUCCGUGCCAGCAGCCGCGGUAAUACGGGGGGUGCAAGCGUUGUUCGGAAUCAUUGGGCGUAAAGAGCGUGUAGGCGGCUUGGUAAGUCAGAUGUGAAAGCCCUGGGCUCAACCCGGGAAGUGCAUUUGAAACUGCCAGGCUCGAGUAGGGGAGAGGGAAGUGGAAUUCCUGGUGUAGAGGUGAAAUUCGUAGAUAUCAGGAGGAACACCGGUGGCGAAGGCGACUUCCUGGCCCUAUACUGACGCUGAGACGCGAGAGCGUGGGUAGCAAACAG
RNAcentral lists this ribosomal RNA (426 nucleotides) under uncultured bacterium. Its description in RNAcentral is "bacterial SSU rRNA". It matches the Rfam family "Bacterial small subunit ribosomal RNA", at positions 358 to 775 of the family's 1533-position model. The record is from RNAcentral.